UUGCACAGGUGCUGCAUGGCUGUCGUCAGCUCGUGUCGUGAGAUGUCGGUUAAGUCCGCUAACGAGCGCAACCCUCGUCGUGUGUUAUACGUGUCACACGAUACUGCCGGUAUCAAGCCGGAGGAAGGUGGGGAUGAUGUCAAGUCAGCAUGGCCUUUAUAUCCUGGGCUACACACACGCUACAAUGGCAGAUACAAUAGGUUGCGAAACCGCGAGGUGGAGCCAAUCCUCAAAGUCUGUCUCAGUUCAGAUUGUAGGCUGCAACUCGCCUGCAUGAAGUUGGAGUUGCUAGUAAACGCAGGUCAGCUAUACUGCGUUGAAUACGUUCCCGGGGUUU
RNAcentral lists this ribosomal RNA (337 nucleotides) under uncultured Leptolinea sp. Its description in RNAcentral is "bacterial SSU rRNA". It matches the Rfam family "Bacterial small subunit ribosomal RNA", at positions 1030 to 1382 of the family's 1533-position model. The record is from RNAcentral. Lineage: Bacteria; Bacillati; Chloroflexota; Anaerolineae; Anaerolineales; Anaerolineaceae.